Molecule: ribosomal RNA, 253 nt
Filed under: uncultured bacterium
Lineage: Bacteria
Description: partial 16S ribosomal RNA
Rfam family: Bacterial small subunit ribosomal RNA
Source: RNAcentral
UACAGAGGAUGCAAGCGUUAAUCGGAAUUACUGGGCGUAAAGGGUGAGUAGGCGGUAAAUUAAGUCAUAUGUGAAAUCUUAGAGCUUAACUCUGGAAGUGCAUUUAAUACUGUUUAACUAGAGUGCUGUAGAGGGCGAUGGAAUUUCCGGUGUAGCGGUGAAAUGCGUAGAUAUCGGAAGGAACACCAGUGGCGAAGGCGGUCUUCUGGACCGAUACUGACACUCAGGCGCGAAAGCGUGGGGAGCAAACAGG